AAUGGCCUAACGGCUGAACCAGCAACUUGGAGGAAUGUAUAGCAAUUGCUAAUUGUAUCAAUACAAGAUUGGUACAAUAUCGACUUAGUCGAAUAAAAUUCUGGGUAAAACUAUGAUAAUGACAUUAUUUACUUAUGUGUCUUGACCAAAUUACGUGCCAGCAGUCGCGGUAAUACGUAGAAGACUAGUGUUAUUCAUCUUUAAUAGGUUUAAAGGGUACCUAGACGGUAAAUAAAGCCUUAGCUGGGACUGAUUUGCUAGAGUUAAAUGUGAGGGAGUUUUAAUGUACUAGAGGUGAAGAGAUGAAAUUCUGUCAUACCUUUUUUCUUUAGAAAAAACUUGGCACAGGUAUAGGUGAAAACAUCUCCUUAUGUAAUAACUGACGUUGAGGGACGAAGGCUUUUUAUCGCGAACAGGAUUAGAUACCCUGGUAGUCAAAGCAGAAAAUGAUGAGUGUCAUAGAUUAGAUAACUAUUUAUUCUAUAAAUGAAAGUGUAAGCACUCCACCUCAAGAGUAAUUUGGCAACAUUGGAACUGAAAUCAUUAGACCGUUUCUGAAACCAGUAGUGAAGUAUGUUAUUUAAUUUGAUAAUCCGCAAAGAACCUUACCACAACUUGAAUGUUUAUGUUUAUUCUUUAAGAGAAACGUAGAUACAAGCGUUGCACGGCUGUCUUCAGUUAAUGUCGUGAGACUAUGGUUAGCUCCAUUAAAUUAACGUAAACCCUUGCUUUAUUUUUAAAUAAAGUAGUUCUCCACUAUAUUGGAUAAGAUAACAGGGACUAAGACAAGUCAUCAUGGCCUGAAUGUUGUGGGCUAUAGACGUGCCACGUGAGCCUUUACAAAAGGAUGUGAAAUUGUGAAAUUGAGCUAAUCCCCCAAAACUGGCUAUACACUGUCAAU
Molecule: ribosomal RNA, 901 nt
Filed under: Micarea globulosella
Lineage: Eukaryota; Fungi; Ascomycota; Lecanoromycetes; Lecanorales; Micareaceae
Description: SSU rRNA
Rfam family: Bacterial small subunit ribosomal RNA
Source: RNAcentral